GGGCCCGUGGUCUAGUGGCUAUGACAUCGCCUCGACACGGCGGGAAUCACCGGUUCAAGUCCGGUCGGGCCCA
Molecule: transfer RNA, 73 nt
Filed under: Candidatus Woesearchaeota archaeon
Lineage: Archaea; Nanobdellati; Candidatus Woesearchaeota
Description: tRNA-Val
Rfam family: tRNA
About the family: Transfer RNA (tRNA) molecules are approximately 80 nucleotides in length. Their secondary structure includes four short double-helical elements and three loops (D, anti-codon, and T loops). Further hydrogen bonds mediate the characteristic L-shaped molecular structure. tRNAs have two regions of fundamental functional importance: the anti-codon, which is responsible for specific mRNA codon recognition, and the 3' end, to which the tRNAs corresponding amino acid is attached (by aminoacyl-tRNA synthetases). tRNAs cope with the degeneracy of the genetic code in two manners: having more than one tRNA (with a specific anti-codon) for a particular amino acid; and 'wobble' base-pairing, i.e. permitting non-standard base-pairing at the 3rd anti-codon position.
Source: RNAcentral